CCUCCUCUGACUUCUCUAAUCCUUCACUUCCUCUUUCUGUACGAACAAACUCUUUCAACCACGCAGAGUAUUGGUACUAUUAGUAUUCCUAGUAUUAGUAUUAGUCUGUCUGUGUACUUGAACAACUUCUUUAAUAUUACACCAUCAGAGUCCGUGACUGAAACAACUCAACCGGCCCGAUAUGUAAAUGAGUGUUUACGUAAACGUCAGAGGGGGAGGAGCCAGAAAACAAGAAGUCACAGAAACGUCAACUUCUGUCUACGAAGCCCAGAAGACACAGAGUGAGACAGGUUCCAUCAGACAGACAGCUGGAGUCUGAACACAUGUGACAUCCUCUGUGCCCAAAACUCACAUCAGCACCGAAAACAUAGAAAACCUCCAAGAGGGAAAAAAGGCCUUUGUCUGACGCUCAGCGGGAGAAAGACGCUGAUCAGCUGCAGUACUCGUGGUGUGUAUAUACCCCUGUGGUGCAUACUAGUACUCGUGGUGUGUAUAUACCCCUGUGGUGCAUACUAGUACUCGUGGUGUGUAUUUACCCCCGUGGUGCAUACUAGUACUCGUGGUGUGUAUUGACCCCCGUGGUGC
Molecule: long non-coding RNA, 585 nt
Organism: Gasterosteus aculeatus aculeatus (three-spined stickleback)
Lineage: Eukaryota; Metazoa; Chordata; Actinopteri; Perciformes; Gasterosteidae
Source: Ensembl